Molecule: ribosomal RNA, 253 nt
Filed under: uncultured bacterium
Lineage: Bacteria
Description: partial 16S ribosomal RNA
Rfam family: Bacterial small subunit ribosomal RNA
Source: RNAcentral
UACGUAGGGUGCGAGCGUUGUCCGGAAUUAUUGGGCGUAAAGAGCUUGUAGGCGGUUUGUCGCGUCUGCCGUGAAAAUCCGGGGCUCAACCCCGGACUUGCGGUGGGUACGGGCAGACUAGAGUGUGGUAGGAGAGACUGGAAUUCCUGGUGUAGCGGUGAAAUGCGCAGAUAUCAGGAGGAACACCGAUGGCGAAGGCAGGUCUCUGGGCCACUACUGACGCUGAGAAGCGAAAGCGUGGGGAGCGAACAGG